CGGUUGAUCCUGCCGGAGGCCACUGCUAUCGGGGUUCGAUUAAGCCAUGCGAGUUGAGAGGGUUUAGACCCUCAGCGGACUGCUCAGUAACACGUGGAUAACCUGCCCUAAGGUGGAGAAUAACCCCGGGAAACUGGGGAUAAUACUCCAUAGAUUAGAGACACUGGAAUGUUCUUUAAUCGAAAGCUCCGGCGCCUUAGGAUGGAUCUGCGGUCGAUUAGGUUGUUGUUGGGGUAACGGCCCAACAAGCCUGUAAUCGAUACGGGUUGUGGGAGCAAGAGCCCGGAGAUGGAAUCUGAGACACGAUUCCAGGCCCUACGGGGCGCAGCAGGCGCGAAAACUUUACAAUGCAGGAAACUGUGAUAAGGGAACCCCGAGUGCCCGUAUACGCGGGCUGUCCAGGUGUUUAAAACGCAUCUGAAGAAAGGGCCGGGCAAGACCGGUGCCAGCCGCCGCGGUAAUACCGGCGGCUCGAGUGGUGGCCACUAUUAUUGGGCUUAAAGCGUCCGUAGCUGGACUCUUAAGUCUCUUGGGAAAUCCGCCGGCUUAACCGGCGGGCGUCUAAGAGAUACUGGGGGUCUAGGGACCGGGAGAGGUGAGAGGUACUCCGGGGGUAGGAGUGAAAUCCUGUAAUCCCCGGGGGACCACCGAUGGCGAAGGCAUCUCACCAGAACGGCUCCGACAGUGAGGGACGAAAGCUGGGGGAGCGAACCGGAUUAGAUACCCGGGUAGUCCCAGCCGUAAACUAUGCGCGUUAGGUGUACCGGUGACCACAAGUCACUGGGGUGCCGAAGGGAAACCGUGAAACGUGCCGCCUGGGAAGUACGGUCGCAAGGCUGAAACUUAAAGGAAUUGGCGGGGGAGCAC
Molecule: ribosomal RNA, 867 nt
Filed under: uncultured archaeon
Lineage: Archaea
Description: bacterial SSU rRNA
Rfam family: Archaeal small subunit ribosomal RNA
Source: RNAcentral